UUUCUAGAUGUUCUGGGCCGCACGCGCGCUACACUGAACAGUUCAACAAGUCUUAACCUUGGCCGAUAGGUCUGGGUAAUCUUUGAACGCUGUUCGUGAUUGGGAUAGACCUUUGCAAUUAUGGGUCUUCAACGAGGAAUUCCUAGUAAACGCAAGUCAUCAGCUUGCAUUGAUUACGUCCCUGCCCUUUGUACACACCGCCCGUCGCACCUACCGAUUGAAUGGUCCGGUGAAAUCUCGGGACGGCGGCUUGGUCGCUUGCGUCCGACUGCUGAAACUUGAUUAAACCAUAUCAUUUAGAGGAAGGUGAAGUCGUAACA
RNAcentral lists this ribosomal RNA (320 nucleotides) under uncultured eukaryote. RNAcentral describes it as "partial 18S ribosomal RNA". It matches the Rfam family "Eukaryotic small subunit ribosomal RNA", at positions 1470 to 1796 of the family's 1831-position model. The record is from RNAcentral.